UUUACAGAUAUAUCUAUUCAUUACAAAUGUCUUCCUUUUCCAAGGAAGUGGAAAAGUAUGGUCAGCUCACCACAUCUGCUGGGCAAUCCACGCAUGAGGAAACAGUUCCAUGCCAAGAGAUUCUUUCUAGAAAACAGUUCAUUUCUCUAAAAAUGGACAGAGCAAUAAGACUGAACAGUGAAGAAGGAAAUUGCCAGGAAGAUGAAUUCCAGGAGUGUGAGGGUGGAAUAACACCUCUCAAAACAUGUUUGUUGCCCUGUGAAGAAUGUCAGAAACACCACACCAUCUGGGCAACUGCUAUUUCUGAAGAGCCUCUGUACCAAGUUAAAGAUGAUUGGACAAAUUGACCCAAAAAGGGGGAGGUAACUUUGUGUCACCAGAGGAAAAUAUGGAUCUCUUGCAGGAGAGGAUAUGAAACAUUGUAGAACUGUCAGGACUUCUUGCGUGAAUGUUAUGAUAUAUGGAAAGAGUUACGGAUAAAGAAUAUAAAUCUCAUUUGGGGUGAGUGAGGUAAUUUGUUGUUGACCAGGACAAGUGUUUUUGAAGAGUGGAAUUAAAAUUCUUCAUUGAGUAGGGACAGGACAUUGAUUUGUGGUCAUUACAGCAAAGAAGAAUGGUGCUCUUGACCUACUACUACCUACCCUUUGACAUAAGAUAACAAGAAUUUAUUGUUGCUUUUUGUUCUCUGCUGCUUAAAGUUCUGCACUGGAAUUCAAACCUGCUUUCAUGUGGCUUCAAGUACUCUGUAUUUCUUAAGAAGCAUGGUGAUCUGUGGCAGUAAUUCUGGUGGAAAAGACAUUUUUCUGCCAGUAUACCAAACAUACUGGAGUUAUUCAAGUCCUUAGUACCCUUUUUAAAACUUUCUGAUUUCAUGAACCAUUUUCCUGGCAUCUCAGAAUGGCUAAAUUCUGGUUUUAUAAGGCAAAAGUACUGGAUAUAUUUUUUUUUCCAUCCUCAAAUCCACUCUAUCUCAAAGGGGCUUUUACGCAUGUAGUUUUGUUACUCAGUGGGAACACAGUCUAAGCAGAUGUUCCUAUAUGAUGAUGCAAAGAAGAAGCGUUUGUUUCCUUUUUGUCUAUGGCUGGCUUUCAUAGUGUGCUGUCAGCUGCGAAAAUAUUAAAUGUGGCUAGCAAUUUCAGGUAAUUGCUGAACAAAAAAGAUUAUUUAUAAACAAUGAAUUGUUCCAAAUAGAAGUCAAAAUUCAGAGUCCUUUCUCUGGGCACAGUAUGUGGAAUUCAGCUGACCAAACACAGAUUUUCACUCUGCCAGUAUCAACAUCUGAGAUAGUUGUCUGCACCCUCUUUACAAGUUAAUAGAGGAAAAACAGCACUAGAGUGAGAUGUGGUUUACUUCAUCCUAAUGCAGAUGUCUAAAUCAAGAAGAACUUGUUCCCUAAAUGUGGCUGUUUCUCGUCAUCAAGUGUGAGAGGAGCUGAGGGUAGUUGAUCACAAAUAGACGUCAGCUUUAUACUUGGAUAGAUACAAACCUGAACUCUUCUUGCUUUUUGACUCUGCACGCAACUGCCCAUCUCCUCUCUUGUCACUUAGCUCUGGCAAACCUUAGCUUGUCUACCUGUAGAGGAACUAUCACCAGGUCCUAAAUCAUGGAAUCAUUUAGGUUGGAAAAGAUCUCAAAGAUCAUCUAGUCCAACUUUUAACCUAGCACUGCCAAGUCCACCAUUAAGCUAUGUCACUAAGCUCUACAUCUACAUCUUUUUUGAAGACCUCCAGGGAUGGUGACUCAACUACUUCCCUAGGCAGCCUGCUCUAAUACUUCACUACCCUCAAUGCUGCUUUGGACUCUAGACUCCUUACCCACCUGCAGAUAUCCCAACUCUUUUCCUCACAACUAUGUCCUGAGAUGAGAGCACCUCACCUCCCUACAGCAUCUCAGGAGUCUGGAAGAGGAAGCUGAUGCCAGUGGCAGACAGGAGCUUCAGUGUAUCCUCAGCCCCUUUAGGGUGCUCUGAUCCUGCCAAGGGCAGCAGAGUAGCCUCAUCUGAGGAAACAGACACUGAUUGGUUGAAAACCAACUGUCCUCUGUUAUGUGAAUAUUUGGUCACCAGGAAGAAUAGUUUGGGCACCUCAGGAAGAAAGAAAGGGUGAAUUUAAUGGCUAUGGUAAGAGAACACAUCAUAGUCACACUGUUUAAAUAAGAUCUUUAUCUUGUAUCAUGAGAAUUUGCAUGUUGAUUGUAUGUUGUAGCCAACCAUGAGUCUUUCUUGGACACAGGGGAGCUAUUUCCUUCGUUCAAGCAUUCAUCAUCUAUAUCAGAAUGAACCUGUAAAUGUUUGUAAUGAGGACAUACACCACUGUCUUCCUGGAAAUAAACAGUUAACGGACUUCAGAGGGAAUGAUAAGGCAUUAACAGACUUUAGAGGGGAGGCUUUACUUUGAAGAAAUCACCCAUCCACCUUUUGCCUCUUUUUUUUUUUUUUUUUUUGAGGAAGACAGAAACUGUCAACCUUAGGAUCCAGAGGGGAACUGGAAGAUUAAGUAUAAUGUCAGAGAAAAGGGGUAGAUGCUGUGAUGAUUUUGUGCGAUAAUUUUAACUGCAUUAUUACAAGGCUUUUUGUAUUAAUUUGUGAUUUGGUUUAUCCGGCUGUUAAAAAUGGGUUGGACUGGUAAUAAAUUAAUAGCUUCUUAUGUGUGGUAUGUUCAAUUUUCCUCGUAGUGACAUUAUGAGAAUAUUAUCAUUGGUUGAAGAAAGCAGCAGAUAAUGAAGCUAAUAGGCCUGUUUACAUAGAAGGGAAUGACAGAAAAGAAUGUUAAAGAAAAUUAAAUAAAUUAAGACAAAACUAGUUGUCUCUGGUGAAGAGAGAGAGAAAAAAAAUGUAUUUUAACAUAAAGAUAGCCAUUUAGAAUAAUUAUAUUAUUGCAAUUAUAGAAAACACAUAAAUUCAGAGCUAAAACAAGCAAAAACACAGAAGCUUUAUCAUGAUGUUUUUUGAAGAAACUGGAAAAUAAAUUAAGUGCUUCUAACUAAAUGCAAACAGUGAAAGAAGGUCAAUGGUGGACACAAACAUGACAAAUGAAGGUAAGGACAUAAUAACUAUUACAGAGUCCUGGUUUAUCCCAAAGGAAGAGGCUGGGUAAUAGAGUUACAGGAUGUUCCAAAAGAAAAUGUUCAGCAUAGAAAAACAGAAGUGGAAAGGGAGUAUAUCUUUGUAAUGUAGGAAAGUUAAAAGAAAUCUUGAAUGGAAAACAAAAUCAAUUUGGCAAAAUUAGUGUGGAGCAAAUGUCUAAGCACCAAAAAUAUAAAAUGGUAACUUAAAGACUUUUUAUUGCCAAAUAAGUACAGAACAGAGGACAUAAAAUUUCUCAGCUGCUCUAAGUUAUUACAGUUCACUUGCUUUCACUGGAGCUACAAUGAUUUGAAUUAUCUAAAGAUAAAUGAAAAAAACAGUCUAGAUAGAAAGAGAAGAUGAAAGAUGACAGCUGUAUUCCUAAGCAGGAAAUCGUAGAGGAACUUAAAUGACACAAUCAUAGAUGAUUCCUUUUGGGGCUGGGUUUUAUUAAUUUUAUCUGAUCUCAGAUUCACUUAGGCUUUGGAGCACUUAAGGCUAGAUUCCACUUAAAAGCUCUUUGAUUUGUUUUUUCUCAUAAGAAAUCUUGUAAAAGGAGGAGAGGAAAAAAUGGAGGAAAAAAUAAAAAGGGAACGACAGCUGGAGAAAAAAAAAAAAAAGUGCAUUAGGAACUUAGCAUAAUAGCUUAGUAAACCUAUUCUUCACUCUUUUGAGUCAGAGUGAUGUUCCAGUCCUGAUCUAUCUGUGACUUUGAUUGGCUUUGUGAUCAUUUCUACUUGUACGGGGCAUAAUCCUUCAUGAAAUGUAACAGAAUGAAAAAGAACACUACAAAAUUUGUAAAUCUCCUAUAGCAAAAAAUAAAUAAGACAAUAAAUAUGUAUAAUUAUACACACACCCUGUGUUCCACUCUCUUUUAAUAGCAUUUGCAGGUUCAGGCUAAAAAUUAACACUGUGUUUCUUAGCAUUUUUUAUUAGAGAGCAUGUUGUUAAUUCCUAUGCAAUACAUAUAUAGUUUAAAUGAACAUCAUUGUGAUGGAAAGGUCAAAAAUAAGUAAAGAAAACACUAAAAUAAUAGAUGACUUGGGGGUAGGGGUUAUGUGUAAGUACAGAAUAUCAUACAGACUCAGAGUUCAAAUUCCCCACGUGUGUUGGAAUUUACAUUUGGAAAUAUAAUGAAUUUCAGAUGCUUGUUAGAGUUGCACCUUUGUCCUACU
Molecule: long non-coding RNA, 4239 nt
Organism: Cygnus olor (mute swan)
Lineage: Eukaryota; Metazoa; Chordata; Aves; Anseriformes; Anatidae
Exons: 5
Source: RefSeq, a predicted model, not a curated record